AGGACGAACGCUGGCGGCGUGCUUAACACAUGCAAGUCGAGCGGAAAGGCCCUUUUGGGGGUACUCGAGCGGCGAACGGGUGAGUAAUACGUGAGUAACCUGCCCUGGACUUUGGGAUAACCCUCGGAAACGGGGGCUAAUACCGGAUAUGACUUGGCCUCGCAUGGGGUUGGGUGGAAAGUUUUUCGGUCUGGGAUGGGCUCGCGGCCUAUCAGCUUGUUGGUGGGGUGAUGGCCUACCAAGGCGACGACGGGUAG
RNAcentral lists this ribosomal RNA (257 nucleotides) under uncultured bacterium. RNAcentral's name for it is "partial small subunit ribosomal RNA". It matches the Rfam family "Bacterial small subunit ribosomal RNA", at positions 26 to 286 of the family's 1533-position model. The record is from RNAcentral.